Molecule: ribosomal RNA, 327 nt
Filed under: uncultured eukaryote
Lineage: Eukaryota
Description: partial 18S ribosomal RNA
Rfam family: Eukaryotic small subunit ribosomal RNA
Source: RNAcentral
CCCUUAGAUGUUCUGGGCCGCACGCGCGCUACACUGACGAAUGCAACGAGCUUAUAACCUUGGCCGAAAGGUCUGGGUAAUCUCCAAAUUUCGUCGUGAUGGGGAUAGAUUAUUGCAAUUAUUAAUCUUCAGCGAGGAAUGCCUAGUAAGCGCAAGUCAUCAGCUUGCGUUGAUUACGUCCCUGCCCUUUGUACACACCGCCCGUCGCUCCUACCGAUUGAAUGGUCCGGUGAAGCGCUCGGACCGCGGCCUCUUGACGGUUUUCCGUCGAUUGGCUGUGGGAAGUUCGUUAAACCUUAUCAUUUAGAGGAAGGAGAAGUCGUANCA